AUACAUCAAUAGAUUUACACCACCAAGCAAAUUAUACAUCAAAUUGGUUGGUGACUUAUCCACACGAGAAUUUGCACAACCUUGAAUAUGGUACCAUUCCUGCUCUGGAGAAUAGAUCAUUUGAGAUAGGAGCUUCAUCCUUGAAACAUGGGUUCAUCUAUCAACUGACCAGGGAAAAUUCCAAAGAAGAUUGUGGAAAUAUUGAAUUAAGUGAAAAUGUUCAAUCAGAUAUUGAAUUUACUGAUGGUUAUCCAAAGGAUACUGGCAGAUAGUGAAGUGUACAGUAAUGCCACAGUAACAAGCAUUAUGGAUAAUAUUAGUUGCAUUGCUACAAGUGUUAGUCCUACUACAAAUAUUAUGACUGCUAGACCUACAUUUGCUACUAAUACUGCUACUACUACUACCCCCCCCCCUCUACUGCUGCUACUACUACAACUACUACUAAUGGUGAUGUUGAUUGUAGCAUUCUCAAUGGAAAUGAUAAUUUACAAAAACCUGAAAUACAGUAUGAGACCAUACAAUUAGGGUUACAUGCAGAAGGAGAACUAACAUUCACAACCAUGAAAUCAAAUGGUAAGAGGAUACCAUGAAUCAAUUUUUUUAAGAGAGCAAAACAAAAUAUUUUUCCCCAAUAAAUGGUCAGUUCUGAAAU
Long non-coding RNA from Macrobrachium nipponense, 652 nucleotides. RefSeq lists it as uncharacterized. The transcript is spliced from 4 exons. NCBI's taxonomy places the organism in Eukaryota, Metazoa, Arthropoda, Malacostraca, Decapoda, Palaemonidae. The record is from RefSeq and is a predicted model, not a curated record.